This 742-nucleotide ribosomal RNA is filed under the name Penicillium psychrosexuale. Its description in RNAcentral is "LSU rRNA". It matches the Rfam family "Eukaryotic large subunit ribosomal RNA", at positions 196 to 959 of the family's 3401-position model. Lineage: Eukaryota; Fungi; Ascomycota; Eurotiomycetes; Eurotiales; Aspergillaceae. The record is from RNAcentral.
CGGGACGUCACGGAGGGCGCGCGUCCCGUAUGGGACGGGCGUCCGCGCCCGUGUGAAGCUCCUUCGACGAGUCGAGUUGUUUGGGAAUGCAGCUCUAAAUGGGUGGUAAAUUUCAUCUAAAGCUAAAUAUUGGCCGGAGACCGAUAGCGCACAAGUAGAGUGAUCGAAAGAUGAAAAGCACUUUGAAAAGAGAGUUAAAAAGCACGUGAAAUUGUUGAAAGGGAAGCGCUUGCGACCAGACUCGCUCGCGGGGUUCAGCCGGCAUUCGUGCCGGUGUAUUUCCCCGCGGGCGGGCCAGCGUCGGUUUGGGCGGUCGGUCAAAGGCCCUCGGAAGGUAACGCCCCUAGGGGCGUCUUAUAGCCGAGGGUGCAAUGCGACCUGCCUAGACCGAGGAACGCGCUUCGGCUCGGACGCUGGCAUAAUGGUCGUAAGCGACCCGUCUUGAAACACGGACCAAGGAGUCUAACAUCUACGCGAGUGUUCGGGUGUCAAACCCGUGCGCGAAGUGAAAGCGAACGGAGGUGGGAACCCUUACGGGUGCACCAUCGACCGAUCCUGAAGUCUUCGGAUGGGAUUUGAGUAAGAGCGUAGCUGUUGGGACCCGAAAGAUGGUGAACUAUGCCUGAAUAGGGCGAAGCCAGAGGAAACUCUGGUGGAGGCUCGUAGCGGUUCUGACGUGCAAAUCGAUCGUCGAAUUUGGGUAUAGGGGCGAAGACUAAUCGACAUCUGGUAGCUGGUCUGC